This 444-nucleotide ribosomal RNA is filed under the name Gemella morbillorum. Its description in RNAcentral is "bacterial SSU rRNA". It matches the Rfam family "Bacterial small subunit ribosomal RNA", at positions 28 to 459 of the family's 1533-position model. Lineage: Bacteria; Bacillati; Bacillota; Bacilli; Caryophanales; Gemellaceae. The record is from RNAcentral.
GACGAACGCUGGCGGCGUGCCUAAUACAUGCAAGUCGAGCGAAGUUUUUCUGGUGCUUGCACUAGAAAAACUUAGCGGCGAACGGGUGAGUAACACGUAAAGAACCUGCCUCAUAGACUGGGACAACUAUUGGAAACGAUAGCUAAUACCGGAUAACAGUAUUUCUCGCAUGAGAGAUAUUUAAAAGUUGGUUAUGCUAACACUAUGAGAUGGCUUUGCGGUGCAUUAGCUAGUUGGUGGGGUAAAGGCCCACCAAGGCGACGAUGCAUAGCCGACCUGAGAGGGUGAUCGGCCACACUGGGACUGAGACACGGCCCAGACUCCUACGGGAGGCAGCAGUAGGGAAUCUUCCGCAAUGGGCGAAAGCCUGACGGAGCAACGCCGCGUGAGUGAAGAAGGAUUUCGGUUCGUAAAGCUCUGUGUUAGGGAAGAAUGGAUAUGUAG